CAGCCCCUCGAGUGGUGGGGAUGAUUAUUUGGCCUAAAGCGUCCGUAGCCGGCCGAGCAAGUCUUCCGUUAAAUCCAGCGUCUCAAGCGUUGGACUGCGGGAGAUACUGUACGGCUAGAGAGUGGGAGAGGUCAGCGGUAUUCUGGGGGUAGGGGCGAAAUCCUUUGAUCCCCGGAGGACCACCAGUGGCGAAGGCUGCUGACUAGAACACGUCUGACGGUCAGGGACGAAAGCUGGGGUAGCGAACCGGAUUAGAUACCCGAGUAGUCC
RNAcentral lists this ribosomal RNA (270 nucleotides) under uncultured archaeon. Its description in RNAcentral is "partial 16S ribosomal RNA". It matches the Rfam family "Archaeal small subunit ribosomal RNA", at positions 477 to 747 of the family's 1478-position model. The record is from RNAcentral.